RNAcentral lists this ribosomal RNA (400 nucleotides) under phytoplankton environmental sample. RNAcentral's name for it is "partial small subunit ribosomal RNA". It matches the Rfam family "Eukaryotic small subunit ribosomal RNA", at positions 587 to 992 of the family's 1831-position model. The record is from RNAcentral.
AGCUCCAAUAGUGUAUGCUAAAGUUGUUGCGGUUGAAAAGCUCGUAGUUGGAUCUAGGGCGCUGGUCGGUGGUCCGCCGCAAGGUGUGUACUGUCGGCCGGUCUCUUUCUUCUGGUUUUCCGUCGGUGCUCUUAACUGAGUGUCGGCGGUGGCCAGUGCGUUUACUUUGAAAAAAUUAGAGUGUUUAAAGCAGGCUGUUUGCCUGAAUAUCGGUGCAUGGAAUAAUGGAAUAGGACCUCGAGUCUAUUUUGUUGGUUUUCGGAAGCGAGGUAAUGAUUAAGAGGGACAGACGGGGGCAUCCGUACUCUGCCGUUAGAGGUGAAAUUCUUGGAUCGGCGGAAGACGAACUAUUGCGAAAGCAUUUGCCAAGAAUGUUUUCUUUAAUCAAGAACGAAAGUAG